CCGAGUAAGGGUAUUUCCAUACCCGACCUCCAACCCUUUGUCUACUUUACUCUUUGUUGCUUCGGCGAGCCCGUCCCUUGAAAUAUAGAGACCGCCGGGGGUCUUGUACCCUGGGUCAGCGCUCGUCGAUAGCCCUUAUUAAACUCUUGUUUAACCGUGUCGUCUAAGUACAAAGCACUUAAUUAAAUA
This 189-nucleotide unclassified non-coding RNA is filed under the name uncultured Herpotrichiellaceae. RNAcentral describes it as "sequence contains ITS1". Lineage: Eukaryota; Fungi; Ascomycota; Eurotiomycetes; Chaetothyriales; Herpotrichiellaceae. The record is from RNAcentral.